GGUUAAAAAGCUCGUAGUUGGAUCUCGGCAAGUAGAGGGCGGUAUGCUUCGUAGACAUUACUGCCCUAUUACUUGUAGUUUUGCCAGAGGUUCCUGGGUGCUCUUAAUCGAGUGUCUAGGGAUGCUGGCAGGUUUACUUUGAAAAAAUUAGAGUGCUCAAAGCAGGCUAUUACGCUUGAAUAUUCGUGCAUGGAAUAAUAGAAUAGGAAGUUGUUUCUAUUUUGUUGGUUUUCGGAAAUCGACUUAAUGAUUAAUAGGGACAGUCGGGGGCAUUUGUAUUCAAACGACAGAGGUGAAAUUCUUGGACCGUUUGAAGACAAACUACUGCGAAAGCAUUUGCCAAGAAUGUUUUCAUUAAUCAAGAACGAAAGUUAGAGGUUCGAAGGCGAUUAGAUACCGCCCUAGUUCUAACCGUAAACGAUGCCAGCUAGCGAUCUGAGGACGUUUUUUUUGUAGACUCCUCAGGAAGCUUCCGGGAAACCAAAGCGUGUGGGUUCCCGGGGGAAAUAUGGU
This 513-nucleotide ribosomal RNA is filed under the name uncultured marine eukaryote. RNAcentral's name for it is "SSU rRNA". It matches the Rfam family "Eukaryotic small subunit ribosomal RNA", at positions 617 to 1129 of the family's 1831-position model. The record is from RNAcentral.